GACGAACGCUGGCGGCGUGCUUAACACAUGCAAGUCGAACGGAAAGGCCCUGCUUUUGUGGGGUGCUCGAGUGGCGAACGGGUGAGUAACACGUGAGUAACCUGCCCUUGACUUUGGGAUAACUUCAGGAAACUGGGGCUAAUACCGGAUAGGAGCUCCUGCUGCAUGGUGGGGGUUGGAAAGUUUCGGCGGUUGGGGAUGGACUGGCGGCUUAUCAGCUUGUUGGUGGGGUAGUGGCUUACCAAGGCUUGGACGGGUAGCCGGCCUGAGAGGGUGACCGGGCCCAUGGGCCUAGGGGAGGCACCAGGGCGGAAGGGGGGGGAAAGGGGGGGAAAUUGUUCCAGCUGGGCGGCGGGGGUGAAGAAGGCCGCCGGGUGGGGAAGGCGGGCUUUGGGGUAGGAAACGCUUUUCGCUAAUAACGAGGGGGGAGGACGGUAAAUGGAGAAAAAGCACCGGCUAAAUUCGUG
RNAcentral lists this ribosomal RNA (467 nucleotides) under uncultured bacterium. Its description in RNAcentral is "partial 16S ribosomal RNA". It matches the Rfam family "Bacterial small subunit ribosomal RNA", at positions 28 to 507 of the family's 1533-position model. The record is from RNAcentral.